CAAAAUAUUGGCACAUAUAAAAAAAGACAACUCUGUUCCGCAGAGUAGCUGUUGACAUAAUAGUUGCGCAGGAACUUUGUUGACUCUAGAGAACCUCGGGCAAAUCGCACAUCCUCGUGGCGGCAACUUUGCAUGCGGAUAUCAUCCAUAUCAACUUUUCGAUGCCAGUUUCUACACCUACAAUGGUGACCAUGGGUAAUGGGGAAUCAGGGUUCCAUUUUGUACAGGGACCCUGAGAAACGGCUACCACAUGCAAGGAAGGCAAUAGGCAUGCAAAUGACCAACUCCCGACGAGGGAAGGUAGUGACG
Pelobates cultripes (western spadefoot toad) is the source of this 309-nucleotide non-coding RNA. The record is from the annotation of a GenBank genome assembly. NCBI's taxonomy places the organism in Eukaryota, Metazoa, Chordata, Amphibia, Anura, Pelobatidae.